This 393-nucleotide ribosomal RNA is filed under the name uncultured bacterium. RNAcentral's name for it is "partial 16S ribosomal RNA". It matches the Rfam family "Bacterial small subunit ribosomal RNA", at positions 523 to 918 of the family's 1533-position model. The record is from RNAcentral.
AUACGGAGGAUGCGAGCGUUAUCCGGAUUUAUUGGGUUUAAAGGGUGCGUAGGCUGUGCGUUAAGUCAGGGGUGAAAUGCCGUCGCUCAACGACGGAGCUGCCCUUGAUACUGGCGUGCUGGAGUACGGAUGCCGUUGGAGGAAUGAGUGGUGUAGCGGUGAAAUGCUUAGAUAUCACUCAGAACACCGAUUGCGAAGGCAUCUGAAGAAUCCGUCACGGACGCUGAGGCACGAAAGCGUGGGGAUAGAACAGGAUUAGAUACCCUGGUAUUCCACGCCGUAAACGAUGAUGACUAACCGUCGGCGAUAGACAGCCGGUGGCCAAGCGAAAGCGAUAAGUCAUCCACCUGGGGAGUACGUCGGCAACGAUGAAACUCAAAUGAAUUGACGGGG